UUGUUGUAUGUUUUCUGGGCUGUAUGGCCAUGUUCUAGAAGUAUUCCCUCCUGACGUUUCGCCCACAUCUAUGGAAGGCAUCCUCAGAGGUUGUGAGGUAUUGGUGCUUCUGAUUUUAGACGACAAGAGAGCGUGAACCAUUGUUGUAUUUCAGUAAUACCCACAUAAUUACUGGUUGCUUCAUUUCCUGUCUAAUCUCGAUCUAUGCCAUCAGAUGGUUGAUCAUCAUCAGAAAUCUAUACCCUCCAACUGUCUCAAUGGAGCAGGAACAUUGCCAAUUAAUCAUCAAUAGUCCUACUUUUUCAGAUGCUUUUAAGAUGUCAUAGUUUCUCUCUUCUCCAGCUAUCUUUCCCCUUUGCCCACAGCUUACUUCAAUUGCUACAAACUGAUUUCAAAGUGCAAAAGUAAUUUGUACUAAUUUGCCAUAUUUCAUUGCAUAUUAGUUGUCCCUUUAUUUGAUUAAAAAAGGGUGUGAUAAAAACUGUC
Long non-coding RNA from Anolis carolinensis (green anole), 486 nucleotides. RefSeq lists it as uncharacterized. Lineage: Eukaryota; Metazoa; Chordata; Lepidosauria; Squamata; Anolidae. The transcript has 2 exons. The record is from RefSeq and is a predicted model, not a curated record.